This is a long non-coding RNA of Mastomys coucha (southern multimammate mouse), 394 nucleotides long. RefSeq lists it as uncharacterized. The transcript has 3 exons. The record is from RefSeq and is a predicted model, not a curated record. NCBI's taxonomy places the organism in Eukaryota, Metazoa, Chordata, Mammalia, Rodentia, Muridae.
UUGUCCUGCAGAAUUUAGGGACACGGAUGGCAGUGACCAAAUGGCAAAGUCCUUCCAGCCUGGAGAUCAGAGAGUCAGGAAGAAGCCAGAGGAAGAUGGAAGGGGAUGAUUUGGAGGAGAGCAGAGGACUGAGGUCAAGAGAGCACCAAGAAAGUCCUCAACCCGGAAUUCAGUCAGUGAGACUUGCACAACUCAUGAUGGCAGAGUCCCCGAAGAGUAGAGGUCUUGUGUCAAAACUGGUGGCUGUUUAGCCUAUAUAGUGAACUUAGAGGAUGCCUCUUCAAAAGGAAUGACACUGCGGAGGAGGUUAAGGUUUCUGUUGAUAGUUAAGGAAUAAGUUCCUGUUUGAUCUACGGUAUGUUCUGCCUACAUGUUUGCCUAUACACUACAUGUG